This 74-nucleotide microRNA precursor is filed under the name Otolemur garnettii (small-eared galago). RNAcentral describes it as "miRNA (ENSOGAG00000022714.1)". Lineage: Eukaryota; Metazoa; Chordata; Mammalia; Primates; Galagidae. The record is from RNAcentral.
ACCAACCUCUUGGUUUGCCUAGGACUGAGGGGUUUCCUGGGAUGUGAGACCUGCAAUGCUAAUGCUGAGAUGGU